This 22-nucleotide microRNA is filed under the name Oryza sativa (Asian cultivated rice). Its description in RNAcentral is "osa-miR5532". Lineage: Eukaryota; Viridiplantae; Streptophyta; Magnoliopsida; Poales; Poaceae. RNAcentral also lists the same sequence under 1 other name. The record is from miRBase by way of RNAcentral.
AUGGAAUAUAUGACAAAGGUGG